AGAGUUUGAUCAUGGCUCAGAACGAACGCUGGCGGCGUGGAUAAGACAUGCAAGUCGAGCGGGACUUCUUUUGGUAGCAAUACCGAGGGAAAUUCAGCGGCGAACGGGUGCGUAACACGUGGGCAAUCUGUCUUAAAGUGGGGGAUAGCUCGGCGAAAGCCGAAUUAAUACCGCAUGUGAUCAGGGGCGACAUCGCUCCGAAAUCAAAGGUGGCGCAAGCUACCGCUUUUUGAGGAGCCCGCGGCCUAUCAGCUUGUUGGUGAGGUAACGGCUCACCAAGGCGUUGACGGGUAGCUGGUCUGAGAGGACGACCAGUCACACUGGGACUGAGACACGGCCCAGACACCUACGGGUGGCAGCAGUCGAGAAUUUUUGACAAUGGGGGAAACCCUGAUCGAGCGACGCCGCGUGGAGGAUGAAGGUCUUCGGGUUGUAAACUCCUGUCAUUUGGGAACAAGGCGUACGUAUUAACUAUACGUGCGUUGAUAGUACCAGAAGAGGAAGAGACGGCUAACUCUGUGCCAGCAGCCGCGGUAAUACAGAGGUCUCAAGCGUUGUUCGGAUUCAUUGGGCGUAAAGGGUGUGUAGGUGGCGCGCUAAGUCGGGUGUGAAAUUUCGGAGCUUAACUCCGAAACUGCAUUCGAUACUGGCGUGCUUGAGGACUGGAGAGGAGACUGGAAUUUACGGUGUAGCAGUGAAAUGCGUAGAUAUCGUAAGGAAGACCAGUGGCGAAGGCGGGUCUCUGGACAGUUCCUGACACUGAGACACGAAGGCCAGGGGAGCAAACGGGAUUAGAUACCCUAGUAGUCC
Molecule: ribosomal RNA, 810 nt
Filed under: uncultured bacterium
Lineage: Bacteria
Description: bacterial SSU rRNA
Rfam family: Bacterial small subunit ribosomal RNA
Source: RNAcentral